This 292-nucleotide signal recognition particle RNA is filed under the name Phascolarctos cinereus (koala). RNAcentral's name for it is "Metazoan signal recognition particle RNA (ENSPCIG00000033820.1)". It matches the Rfam family "Metazoan signal recognition particle RNA". From Rfam's summary of the family: The signal recognition particle (SRP) is a universally conserved ribonucleoprotein. Lineage: Eukaryota; Metazoa; Chordata; Mammalia; Diprotodontia; Phascolarctidae. The record is from RNAcentral.
ACUAGGUGUGGUGGUGUACACCUGAAGUCCUUAAUGCUAGGGAAGCUGAGGUUACUGGACUGCUUGAGGUCAGGAGUUCUGAGGUAGUAAGGCUAAAGUUGAUUAGGUGUCUGUACUAAGUCUGAUAUCAAUAUUGGUCAGUGGAAGGCUACCAAAUUGCCUAAGGAGGGGCAAACCAGCCCAGGUCAGAAAAAUGGAGCAGGUUAAAAUUUUGUUGCUGAUCAGUACUGGUAUCAGGUCUGUGAAUGGCUGCUAUACUUUCAAGUUGGGCAAGAUAGGAGAGCCAAUCUCC